Triticum urartu is the source of this 4393-nucleotide non-coding RNA. The record is from RefSeq and is a predicted model, not a curated record. NCBI's taxonomy places the organism in Eukaryota, Viridiplantae, Streptophyta, Magnoliopsida, Poales, Poaceae.
AUAUGCAAUGCCGGUAAUCCAUAAUAUGACUCUUUCCAUUUCAGGACCUAGGGAGCUCACUGGUGCUGUUGAUUUAAUAAGUCAGUACAAAUUGCAGCCGCACCAUGAUUUCUUUUGCAAGAGGCCUUUGCCCUUUCAAUCUCAGAUACACAUUACCUUCACAAUGUUGUGGGGGACACUGAAAUUCGGAAAGGAGAAGGAAUGAAGCUAGAUCAACUCGUUUAGAAUACUUAAGGGAUAGGCAUGCUUAUAUUCAGCCCUUUGAUAUGGAAACACUGGGGCAAGCAUUUCAGCUUCGAGAAACUGCUCCAGUAGAUUUACCCUCUGCAGAAAAAGGCAUUACCGGGCAAACCGAAAAGUGAGUCUAAGGACAGAGAGAAAAAACAUAAAAAGCACAAAGACAAAGAUAAAGACAGGGAGCAUAAGAAGCACAAACAUUGACAUAAGGAUCGGUCUAAAGACAAAGACAAGGACAAGGAUAAGAAAAAGGAUAAGCAUCAUGAGAAGAAGAGGAAGCAUGAGGGGACAGAGGACUCGGCAGACGUGCAUAAGCACAAAAAAAGCAAGGUGAUAUACAACUAUUAUUUGCUUCUUGGUACAACAAAUUUCCUUGCAGCACAUUUUGUUGGUCUGUUAACAUGACUUAUCUAUGACAACAUAAGAGUUCCAAAACCGAUGAGAUGGGUAAUGGACUUAGUUAGCUACAGUUUUCUUCUUACUUCUACUGUCAAUCAGUGUCAUAUUCUGUUAGAAGGAGGCUCUAAAGGUUUCCGUCACCAGACCCGCUGCAGAUCAAUUGUUUUGGAUCCUACUGAAGCGCGCCGGCGUCGGCAUGAUAUUCGACAUGGGAAGCGUCCUAUUUAUUAACCACGUUCCAUUGGCUGGAGUCAAGGAAAUUCUCAAGCAUAAAACGGCAUCUUCUUACUCGGCGUGCUUUUAAAGGAGAAUUUGGUAUUUAAUUUAUGGAUCUGUAUAGCUACCUGAUCCCGGUAUAUGAAAUUGAGCCUCUUGAGAAAUUACUGAUGUGAUGCUGCAGACAAAAUUGUCCAAUACUUGUGGUAUGAAGGGGACACACGUUACGUCUUCCCAAAUUGUAUAAGGCCUGCUGAUUUAGAACCACCUCCACAUUACUUGUUUAUAAGUGGUGCCAAGGUAUAAAUAAUUUGCAGGACAUAUGGGACACUAGCGAUGGGCUUCUUCUUAUGGUCUAAUUAUUAGUGUAGUGCAUAUUACACUAUUAAUCUGCCCUAUUGUGAUUCACUUGCAUGCAAAAAUCUGCUCCUAAUGAUUUAUUUCAGUACGAAUAGUACCAUGUCCAAGUUAAUGGGUUUAAAGCUAAGUACUAGUAUUGUGGCAGACUUUAAAUGCAUAGUAAUAUUUGGACAACUUUUGUAAAUCAAAGUGAACUAAUUUAAUCAUGAUAGAAAGGUUGGGCUGUUAGACUGAGUGGAGGUUAGUGCCUGGUGGCUUUGAGAAACUAAAUAAUUUACCUACUACCAUCUAUUUUUUUAAUGUUUAUAUAGUAAUUUAUGAAGAACAGUGAUUUCAUAAUGGUGAGAGAAAUGGCAUGGCUAUGUGUCAAUUUUUUUCCAGAUUUGUCACUGAAGCAACCUGGAUAUCAUUUACUUGAGACUUGAGUGCUUGUCAUACUGUAUUAUUGUACUGCAAAUCUCCUAGUUCCUGUAAUCAUUUUUAUCGAGCAGUGUCUUUUUUCAUCUGUACACAUGUUCACUUCUUUCGGAUCUGAUGGAAACAUAGGAUGUUAGUUACUGAAAAGUUAAUCCUUUUUGUUCCUGUGCAUAUUCGACUUGGAUAUUAACAUGGCCCUCAUUUCAAUUCGAUGUACUGGACUUGAAUCAUUUGCAGGUUGAAGUCGAAGCGGCAUGGAUGGCAGCAAUCAACAAGGAAAUUAAACGUGUGUUGAUAGAAGUUCUUCUGAAGGUUACGGAUGAUCUUUUUAAUGAGAUCGCAACCAAAGUUAUGAAUGAAGAUGAUUCAUCAGCUGAACCAAAUGAGACCACUGGUGUCUCUAGCUCAAAGGAGCUUGGUCUGGGAGAAUCAAAAGUGAAGACCACAGCUAAAGUUGUAGUCCUUGCUAAGCCAAACAAUGUUAGCUCUACUGGUCGUUCUGAUGGUACUGGGCUAAGUUCUCCUAAAGGUGUUCUUAUUGGUCUUGCUAGUUAUGAUUCAGAUGACAAGGAUGAUGAGGGUGAUGGUGAUGGUAAGGGUUUAAUUCCAAAUUUAUCAUCUGAAAUUAAAAGUUGGUGCAGCUCAUCCUAAAGAAAGUAAGUCCUUGAAAAACACAAAGCAGACAUUGUUUCCCAGAAUUUAUUUUCUAAAGGAGGAAGAGCCUUAACUUUCUGAGUUUACUUCGGUCUUACAUGUUUUAGCUUUCUAUUUUUGCUCCUAUAUCUAUGUCUGUUUCUUUCCAUUUCUUGUGUGCAUGUGCUCCAUUGUGUUUGUGACUGUCUAUGUGAUGUGCCCCUAUCUAUGUCUGUUUAUUGUGUGCAAGUGCUACAUUGUGUGUGUGAUGUGCCCCUAUCUAUGUCUAUUUCUUGUGUGCAAUGCUACAUUGUGUGUGUGUGUGACUCUGUGUGUGAUGUGCCCCUAUCUACGUCUGUUUCUUUGUCUGUUUCUUGUGUGCAAGCGCUUGAUUGUGUGUGUGCUUGUGUGACUGUGUGUGCUUGUGUGACUGUGUGUAUUGAAUUUCCUUGAUGGUGUGGCAUGUAUGCUUUGCUGAAUGAUUGGUGUUGUAUAACUUGUGGUUUGUAUUGUUGUGGUUUAACACUGCCUUUGCCGGUCCCAAGCCCGAAUGCGAAAAUGUGGAGGGAGCUGCAAUUACCUCCUUUGUAUUAUUUUCCUUAGAAGUGUGGAUAGAAAUUACUAUCCUAAUCGAAUAGCGAAUCUUCACAUAAUGUCGUAGCAUGUGAUUCAAGCUUUGAAAUGCUAUGAAAAAUCUAGCAAGUAUAAUUGUUUUUAGAAUGUGUCCCAUCUCCUAAAUUACUCGCGCUGGUUUCUUAAAUCUUGCUAGCACCGAUGUUCUAUUUUUAUACACUUUUUCUAAAAAUCAGUCAUCUGUUUUUUAUUUGGCUUUUGGUUGAAUUUUGUGGCUAUCUGAUCUUGCAUGAAUCUCAGCGUCACAGGUGUUCCUCAUUUGUCCAUCACUCACGAGUGCGUGUUGUGUUUACUUGUUAUUGAGAUUUUUAUUUGGGUUGUGGGUCGACCUCUUCUUGUUUGGAUGUGGGGGUCUUCUUUGCAGUUAUGUGUCAUUUCUAGAGGGGUUGACCUACCGAGAGAGAGAGUGUGUGUGUGUGAGAGAGAGAGGAGGGCGAGGUGGUCUUCUUUCCAAUGAUGUGUCAUUUCUCUUUCUUCUGGCCAAAGCGAACGACGUGGUGGCCUGGUUGGGCAGCGAAGGAAGCAAACCGCCGAUUAUUUUUUGUCUCAUACACGAAGUGGACAGCGCGAGACAAAUAGUAACACCAAUGCUUACGUGGACACACACAGCAAGCGCCCUUCUAGCGAUGCUUAUUGUGUUUGAUGGAUUGUAUCGGACAUCUAAUCAGUGUUCUUCCAUGUUCGCACCUCCCUGCAUUGCCGCCGCCGCUUCCCUCUCUCACUGCCAGCGUCACCGCAUCUUCCGGGCGACGUUCUCCGCCUUGCAUGAUGGAGCCGAGGAAGGGGCAGCAAGAUACGCAUGUAUCAUUUCUAUUAAGGAUAACAAGAUGAGGGCUAUUCUUACAUUAGUAGAUCUUGUCUACAUCAUAUCACCGUUCUUAUUGCAUUACUUCGUUUCUUCAUGAACUUAAUACACUAGUUAUUUGAUCAUUGCCUUAUAUAUCGUCAUGAUUAUUUGAUCUUCUAUCAAUUGCCUAACAGUAAUUUGUUUACCCACCGUGUGAUAUUUUCUUGAGAAAAGCCACUAGUGAAAUCUAUGGUCCCCGGGUCUAUUUUUCCAUCAUAUACUUUCAGAUCUACAUCAUUAUUUGCCUUUUUCUUUAUUUGCAUCUUUUAUUUCAAAUCUAUAUUAUCAAAAACCAAAAAAUACCUCGCUGAAUUUUAUUUGUCGUUAUUCUAUUUGCAUCUACCAAUCUAUCUAUUUACCAAUCUUUAACCCAAGAAGGAUUGACAACCCCUCUUAUGCAUCGGGUUGCAAGUAUUUGUUCUUUGUGUGCAGAUACCAUUUAUAUAGCUUGGCUUGGUCCUCCUACUGGAUUGAUACCUUGGUUUCAUAACUGAGGGAAAUACUUACCGUAGAUGUGUUGCAUCAUUCCUUCCUCAUUGGGGAAAUACCGACGCAGUUUCUAGCGACAUCAAGCACUGGGUUAAUAGGUUAGUCCCAAAAAUGAUAUAAAAUAAUGUAUAAAUGCAUAUAAAGCAUCCAAGAUUGAUAAUA